AAUCGGUGACGUCACUUUCUCUGAGACCUUGAAGUAGUGGUUCCCCUUGCUCUUUUCUUUUUUUAUCUUACAGAUGGGCCUACCCGAAACCCAGUGACAACACUUGGGUCUGCAGCUGCCAUUUUUCGGUGGGAAAGAAAUUGGGUCUGUAUUUACCAGAAAAGGAAGCUCAUCCACCAUGGCAGAAGUGGAAGAUCCAGACUGAUGAUUGGGAAACAAGAACAAACAAUGAGGCAUGAGGUUGGGGGUUGAUGGACCACUUGGCAAAUUGUCCAAGGGGGGUUUGUGUUAUGAUAAACAAUGCAUUUUCUGUCCAGAUAAAGAUGUUGAUACGGCAUUGAAAAAUACCCAUCAUUGAUUAAAUGUAUCUUUGUUUUUCCAACAGAACAUCCUUUGAACCAUCUGAUGCAUGGACAUCCUAUGCCGGGGUGAUCUGAGCAUAAGCGUCCAGUUGUGGAGACUACAGCACAUCGAGCCUGUGGACAGAUAGACAAGAGGCUUGACCUGCGGAACAUCAGGCACACCCCACGAGAAGUGGUGCACGAUCAACGCCACGCUCAGCAAGGAGAUCUGCUGGAAGUGAUGUACUCUUUCAUUCUGGGGGUACUGACAGGAGGAGCAAUAUGAGUCUGCUAGAGGCUGUCAUGCUCGAUGGGGUGUGUGAUGGAAGCUUUGGGGUUCCACACAACGAAGAAGCAGGUGUCCAUUCCAGGGAUGUGGAGCUGACCUUGGACCGGGUGCCAGUAAGGAUGGUCUUCACGGAUAAAAUCCUUUGACUUCACUGCCUCUUCAAUGAAACAUUGCUCGGAUCUUGGACCUUGGAGAACUUUUGGUGUGGAUGAUCAG
Oncorhynchus tshawytscha (Chinook salmon) is the source of this 846-nucleotide long non-coding RNA. RefSeq lists it as uncharacterized. NCBI's taxonomy places the organism in Eukaryota, Metazoa, Chordata, Actinopteri, Salmoniformes, Salmonidae. The transcript has 4 exons. The record is from RefSeq and is a predicted model, not a curated record.